UCUUCAUGGCCCAUUCACCAACUUGAUGUUAAAAAUGCUUUCCUCCAUGGUUCCCUUCAAGAAACUAUCUACUGCCAGCAACCUCUGGGUUUUGAAAAUCCAUCCUUUCCAACUCAUGUAUGUCUUCUUCAGAAAUCUCUCUACGGUCUUAAACAGGCCCCACGAGCUUGGUUUCAACGCUUCUCCUCCUUCAUUCAAACAAUAGGCUUCACUCCAUCUCUCUCCGACACCUCUCUUUUUGUGUAUCAUCAAACUUCUGACACUGCCUAUUUACUUCUCUAUGUAGAUGAUAUCAUUCUUACCGCCUCCUCUCAAAAGUUCUUAGAUCAUAUUGUCUCUCUUCUUAGAUCUGAAUUUUCUAUGACUGACCUAGGACUCCUUCAUCAUUUCUUAGGCAUUGCUGUUGUUCGAGAUUCCUCCAGCCUUUUUCUUUCCCAACGCCAGUAUAUUCUUGAUCUUCUUAAUCGUGCUGGUAUGCUUGACUGUCAAUCAUCUCACACUCCUGUCGAUACUAGUUUUAAACUUUCGGCUACCGGUGAACCCUUUUCCGAUCCUACUCUCUAUCGUAGCCUAACAGGUGCUCUCCAAUAUCUCACCAUUACUCGUCCUGAAAUCUCUUUUGCUGUUCAACAAGCAUGUCUCUAUAUGCAUGAUCCCCGGGUUCCUCACUAUAAUCAUGUUAAACGCAUUCUUCGGUAUUUAAAAGGAACUCUCAAUCAUGGUCUCCACCUCAAUAAUUCUUCUCCAAACUCGCUUACCGCAUACUCUGAUGCAGACUGGGCUGGUUGUCCUGACACUCGAAGGUCCACUUCCGGUUUUUGUGUUUUU
This 828-nucleotide ribosomal RNA is filed under the name Triticum aestivum (bread wheat). Its description in RNAcentral is "partial small subunit ribosomal RNA". The record is from RNAcentral. Lineage: Eukaryota; Viridiplantae; Streptophyta; Magnoliopsida; Poales; Poaceae.